UACGUAGGGUGCGAGCGUUGUCCGGAAUUAUUGGGCGUAAAGAGCUCGUAGGCGGUGUGUCGCGUCGGCCGUGAAAACCUGGGGCUCAACUCUGGGCGUGCGGUCGAUACGGGCAUCACUUGAGUUCGGCAGGGGAGACUGGAAUUCCUGGUGUAGCGGUGAAAUGCGCAGAUAUCAGGAGGAACACCGGUGGCGAAGGCGGGUCUCUGGGCCGAUACUGACGCUGAGGAGCGAAGCAUGGGUAGCGAACAGGA
This 254-nucleotide ribosomal RNA is filed under the name uncultured bacterium. Its description in RNAcentral is "partial 16S ribosomal RNA". It matches the Rfam family "Bacterial small subunit ribosomal RNA", at positions 524 to 777 of the family's 1533-position model. The record is from RNAcentral.